Molecule: ribosomal RNA, 396 nt
Filed under: uncultured bacterium
Lineage: Bacteria
Description: bacterial SSU rRNA
Rfam family: Bacterial small subunit ribosomal RNA
Source: RNAcentral
CGGAUCUUCCGCAAUGCGCGCAAGCGUGACGGAGCAAUGCCGCGUGCAGGAUGAAGGCCUUCGGGUUGUAAACUGCUGUCAGGGUUUAGCAACACAAUGAGCAGACCCAAAGGAAGGGCCGGCUAACUUCGUGCCAGCAGCCGCGGUAAUACGAAGGGCCCGAGCGUUGAUCGGAUUCACUGGGCUUAAAGGGUGCGUAGGCGGGAGCGUAAGUGCUUUGUGAAAUCCCACGGCUCAACCGUGGAACUGCAGGGCAUACUGCGUUCCUUGAGGCCGGUAGAGGUUGUCGGAACUCUAGGUGUAGCGGUGAAAUGCGUAGAUAUCUAGAGGAACGCCAAUGGUGAAGACAGGCAACUGGGCCGGUACUGACGCUCAUGCACGAAAGCGUGGGUAGCA